Lepidothrix coronata (blue-crowned manakin) is the source of this 5454-nucleotide long non-coding RNA. RefSeq lists it as uncharacterized. Lineage: Eukaryota; Metazoa; Chordata; Aves; Passeriformes; Pipridae. The record is from RefSeq and is a predicted model, not a curated record. The transcript has 3 exons.
UUCCCCAGCCCUGCGCUCGGCCCGGCCCCGCGGCGCUGUCCGCGUUCAGACCCCGGCGCGGUCGCACCGGCUCAGGGUUUCGGGGAGGUGGUGUAUCACCCGCCGCGUGUGGGACACGUAGGAGCGUGUGUGAUUUCCAGCCGUGUCGGUGUUAACGCUGUUUUCCAUCACCCUCUGGCUUCUGGACAGUACAGCCCCAGCCCUCGUGACGAGAGUGAAAAGGGUGGGGGGAAAUGUGAAAAAUACCUCGGCCAUAUCUUCGUCUAAAUCUCUCUGUGAUUUUACAGGCAGUUUUUGGUGUCCUGGCUGGUUUUUGGAUGUACCCACUGUAUUGCAAGUCCCGAACGUGCCUGGGAGCAGAUGACUGCUUUGUACCCAUCGCACUGCGAGGCAGAACUGCCUCGGGAGUCUGCUGUAAGGAUGCUGUGCAUUGGGAUAGAACAGGCUCCUAUUAAGUGAUUUGGCGCUACUGAAAAUAGCGAACGAGAGGGAAUCCAGCUUCGGUAUUUCAAAGCAAACUUUAGCUCACAUUACAAGAUGCCUGCUUAAACGUGGCAUGCUGGCAUCAAAUGCAGUGCUGCUUCACCUGCGUGGCCAAGAGAUACAAAUAGUCACUUCAUAUGACUUGAUGGAUGUGUUGACAUUACUGAGCCUCAACAGAGAUGACUCUCUUGCAGACUGAGGGACAGGACCAACUCUUCAGGAACAAAGCACACAGCUGGAGAUCUUGGAGCCCUCCACUGAGCAGGGUAAACAUCAUUACCUUUGUUUCACCUACGGGAGAACUGAGGCUCAGAGCAGUGAAGCCCCUUGCCUGUGGCCACUCAGCAAGGCCAACACAUUAUUCUGGUUUAAACUGUUAUGAUAAAUGCAACUUGAAAUAGGAAUAGAACAGACAGGGACACACAGUUCUCAGUGACAUAGGAGAGAAAAAGAAGAGAUGACUGAUGUCAGCAGCCCAAAUUUAUUUUUUAUAGCUCUAGAAUACAUAAUGUGAAGUAAAAUGACAAGUGGAAGCUGUAAGCUUUGGAUCCUCAAUGCUUUAAACUACAAGCUAAGUAGCUGUAACAGGCAGACACUCCACUGUAUGCACAAAUACAUGUGCACACAAUAGUUCUGAUGUGUGGUUUGUGCCCUUAAAUAAUUAAUUUCCUUAGUUUUCCAACUUUCAGCAAAAUUAAGGUAACUUACAACUACAAAAAUGGAGACACGUGUAUACACCAGAAGACUUUCACAGCCCCCAAAGUCCUUAGAGAUAGAAUAGGAUAGGACAGAAUAGAAUAUUCUGGUUAGAAGGGACUUGCAAUUGUCUGGAAGCUGCAUAUGACCACUAUCCUGUUGGGGUCAUCUGUUUGGGGUAAGUUAUGUAUCACAGGGCAGAAACUAUAUGACUGACAACCUGUGGCUGCCACAUCAGAAAGAGCAUUAUCUUAAAAAGUAGAAGCCCAGAAAAUACCCACCAGUGUUACUGGUGGAUUACACUCUUUGAGGUAGCAUAACAUUUUUAAGGCCUAAGAAAGUAAGAUGCUUUUGUUAAAGUUCCUCUUCCUUUAAAAAAAUCGCCUUUCCUCACCUCUUCUUUCUCUUUUUCCUCACAAGAAAUGAAGAAAUGCAGCUAUUUUUUACCUUACUUUGAGGAGACCAUAGAGGCAUUGUCCACCAGUGUAACGUUUCCUGAAGGAAUCAGGAAAGAACAGUAUAAAAGGCCUAUUUUUAGCAACACUCUUUUGGUAUUAAAAGUUCUAAUUAUUCUAAUUUCAUCACCUCUUCUUCUUCGUCCCCAGCUACUCGGGAGUAUCAGGGGCUUCCUCAUUUCCUUCCCUCUUUCCCACUUCCAUAUUUCCUUUCCCUCCUCCUUCUGCAGAGGGCCAUGGCACUUCAGCUGUGCAGUGCUACCACCCUCUGGGCACCGUCCACAUCACAGUCCUGUCUGCAGGAGUGCCCUGAGCUCCACCAUCUGCCUCGGAUAUCUCUGUGAGAUAAAUGCUGCCUUUCAGUGUACCCAGUAAAAAGAGACAGUGAUUUACACCUGAUGCAGCUUUACACAAUGCCUGUUUCGGCCACUUGCUUUUGUAAAGAGACUUCAUCUGGGUGAAAAAUGCAAAGGUAAACACUUCCAAAUGUAUUGGUCCUCCACUGGUCCAGCACCCGUGGUUGGUGGGUUCAUCUCCUCGUGAGUCCAUGUAAGAUGCACCCUUUGAAAAAAAAGUUCAGUAGCAUCUCUAACACUUCCAAAAACAAGCUAUUCCUUCUUUUCCUCUAAUCUACCAUCUUGUCCAUAGCCAAGUGCUCAUUUAUUUAAAGAACGAAAAGCUAUCAGGAAAAAACACAUCUACUAUGCCCACCAUUUUGCUAUAAAAGUACAUUUCCCAAAAUUAAAACCAGGAACUCUUGACACACAGGAUUCAUUUUUUCUUUUUUCACUUUCAUCCACAAGAGAGACCGUGGCUAUCUGCCCAGAUGAAGAGAGAGCGACAGAAAACAGUGGCAUCUUGCAUCACACCAUUUUCAAUGGUCAAAACUGGCAUGUCACAGGAUGUGAAAAGCAAUGAAUGUCAAAGUCAAAGGAACUUUGUACCAAGGCUGUACUUUAUCUCUGGUUCCUCUCUGGGUACCAACAGCAAAUGUGUGUCUUUGGGUGAUGAUAUUUGUGGAAAGUAAAUAUAUUUUGUCUGUGCCGUGGCUUACCUUUGGGGGUACUGCUUCUUACACCAUUUUCUAAUGUUGAUGACACGAUGUAUUACAAUAGUAAUAAUGAAAAACAACCACUACAGUAACAAAAAUAGAACAAAAAACCCCCAACCAAAAACCAACAACAAACACACCAAAAAACCCCCCCAACUUCACAAUCCAAUAUAGAAAAUUAAGUUCAUCAGACAAAGAUUUCCCACACUGCAGCUUAUUUUCUCAGAUGUGUGUUCCUUUUGAGAAGCAGAUGCUCUAUUUCAUUUAAUAUAACAGAUAAUGAUGGAAAUUACAACACCUAUUUGUAAUCAAGAUAAGGGUUUGGAUUAUUUUGCUUUAUGAUUCUAAAUCUCUUACUAGCUGAGUGGGUAAAAACAUGCAUAAGGCUGAAUGACUCAUCCUUGUGCUUCACAGGUAGAUGUGUCUGCCAUCAAAACCUACUGAGAGCAGAGGUGAAGAGGGCAUGUCUUAGAUGUCCCUCCUUGAUACACCUUCCCACAGAUGAAUCUCCAAAGAUACAGAGAGUCCUUUCUCAAACUUUCUUACAAGCUGGAAAACUUCAAAAUAUCUUUGCAAAAGAAAUAACAUAGUUGUAUGGUGCUCUUUUCCCCAGCAGCUUGUGUAGUUUCUACAACAACUCUGUCUCCAAAAAUCCCAGUUGAACAGGCUGGCUCCUAUACCAUUUAUUAAGCCCUAAACUCUUCUAGUUGCCCACCAGCCAGCAAGUCUGACCAACGCAGAAUAGAGGAAAGGAUGGGGGAAAAAAUAUCAAAAAGUGUCACAGUUUAAAGACACCAAAUCUGUAAGGAAGGAAAGUGAGGAAAAUGACAAGUUCAGGUUUUCUCCCUGAAAACACUUGCCACCAGCUGGCUCUGUUUAAAAUGCCUUGUUUGAUGCCAAAUGCCACCUUAUUUUACAAAAAAAGAAGCUGAUUGAAAAGUUGCUUCCUAGCUUGUGUGAGACAGAACUCAAGUAAUCUAAAACUCUAGAGAUCUGUGCUGUGAAUGCUUGGUGAAUGACAAGGCUUCCUGCAUUUUGGGUAGGAAAAUUCAUUUUUCUGGAUAUGUAUGUGUGCUCAAACUAAAAAAAAAGAUUCACUUCAAAUGAAAAUAAAAAUCAGAAACUGACUUUUAUGAGAUUUUUCAUCUCUGAUCCCAAUCAGAAUCAAUCACAGCAUCACAGAAAUGCAUGCUGAUGUGGCAUGAUGAAGAUAGACAGAUCCACGCGUCUGACGAUUCUAUACAAAUAUCAUUAUUGAAUGAGAAGAGCCACAGUGGGCGAAUUGCCUAGCUGGGGCAUCGUCCUUCAAAAGGCAAUGUACAGCUGAUAAAAGAGAUAGGAACAGCUCCUCAAUCCUUUCAAAUAGGCACCUGAAUUUAAAUUAAAGCUGCCACUUCACCCACUGCUGAUCAUAAUUUUGUCCAGUGUACCUGGGGUCAUUGGUCAACCCCAGAGUGCCAGACCAUACGACUGUCACAGUGCCACCCUUAUCUCCAGAGUCCAGAGAACACAAAAGCUUGGGGUUUAGUACCUUGCUGGGGGAAUUUGCACAUGUGAGUUCACCUCUUUGUUACAGCUUUCUCACCAAACACAGAUGAGAAUAAUGGUAAAGCAGGUGAGCAUGAAUGGAUGAAAAAGAGAACAAGGAAGCUAGAUUGUCAUGUGAAAGGGGGGAGUUUAGAUUUUUGCCUGUUGGCGCCCCCAGGAAAGUCGAGACCCAUGUGUCCGACCAGUCUGGCAGCAUCGCACAAUGAGAGCCUUCACCAACAGAUUCACAAGAUUGGAGGGUGAUUUGAUUGCCUUUGUCAGGGGGUGGUUAGUCGACAGCAUGAAGACCCCUCAGCGGGCCCUGCCAAAGUAUUAUCUGCUGCUGGACCCACUCUAACAGUUCAUGCAACAACACCUUUUAUUAAUACAAAUUGUGGCAGGUUUGUGGUCGUUGGUGAUAGGGUGCAAAAAUAUGUUUUAAAGCAAUCUACUGGUAUAUGUAUUAAGCAAGCACAAGCUCUAAACCUAAAAGCAGUAUUUAACAAGCGUAGAAUAUAAUUCUUACCAAAUGCAUCUCUGUGGGGAGAGAAUAUAGGCAGUUUCAAAGUACCACAAGUUCCCCCUUUCUGCCAGGAUUUCAAUGGAGGGAGGCCACGUAGUUUUCACUUCAUUCCACUCUCCAUUCCAUCCCUCUAAGCAGAUGAUUAUCAUCGUACAGGGAGCACGUCAACUGCAUUCUGUCCAGGCAGUAGCAGCUGCAUUUAUCACAGAAUUCUUAACCUCCUCUAAAUUUUAACCAUAUCCAUCAUCCCACAUAGAUAUUAUCAUAGUGUAAGAGAAAAGGUUUAUUUUGUCACUUGAUUUACCACCCUUGGAGACACAAAGUCAGAACGCACAUAAGCUAUAAUAAAACCAGGUAACAUGAUUUGAAAGGUGAACACAGCUCUGACAGUUGUUAGUGUUGGCCUUCCAUCAAACAAGAAGACACAUUGCUUGUUAAACAAGUCUAACAGCACUAGUGUUUUCCAACAGCAUUACUUUCUGGAGUCAAGUGUUGCAAUCUAUAAAGUGUCUUGCUACCCUUAUUUAGGAGAAGAGCCUUAUGAAUGUGAUAAUCUUUUAAGGUCCAAUUUUAUCAUAUAACAUGCUGCAACUUAUGUUUCCUAUAUAUGGUUCAUAAUGAGAUUAGUGGAGUAUAAAUGUUCAUGCAAUUUAAAUAGUCUCUUGAGUGUCUGCAAUUAGAAAUAUAGUGCUCUGUAUUUGCCUGCGGGCACUGAUGUU